This is a non-coding RNA of Sphaerulina musiva SO2202, 141 nucleotides long. Lineage: Eukaryota; Fungi; Ascomycota; Dothideomycetes; Mycosphaerellales; Mycosphaerellaceae. The record is from the annotation of a RefSeq genome assembly.
GGUCUCGUAGUAUAGCGGUUUAUUACGUUCAACCCCCGGUACGACCCCCUAUACAGUGGAGAAAUCCUUCUAUAGUGGCCUAGCCCAUGGAAACAUGGAGCCGAAGAUUGAAAGAACUGCGUUCAACUCGCAGCGGGACCA